UACGUAGGUGGCAAGCGUUGUCCGGAUUUACUGGGUGUAAAGGGCGUGUAGCCGGGUUGACAAGUCAGAUGUGAAAUCCUGCGGCUUAACCGCAGAACUGCAUUUGAAACUGUUGAUCUUGAGUACUGGAGAGGCAGACGGAAUUCCUAGUGUAGCGGUGAAAUGCGUAGAUAUUAGGAGGAACACCAGUGGCGAAGGCGGUCUGCUGGACUGUAACUGACGUUGAGGCUCGAAAGCGUGGGGAGCAAACAGG
Molecule: ribosomal RNA, 253 nt
Filed under: uncultured bacterium
Lineage: Bacteria
Description: partial 16S ribosomal RNA
Rfam family: Bacterial small subunit ribosomal RNA
Source: RNAcentral